This 267-nucleotide non-coding RNA is filed under the name Cucumis melo (muskmelon). Its description in RNAcentral is "Eukaryotic large subunit ribosomal RNA". It matches the Rfam family "Eukaryotic large subunit ribosomal RNA", at positions 675 to 932 of the family's 3401-position model. Lineage: Eukaryota; Viridiplantae; Streptophyta; Magnoliopsida; Cucurbitales; Cucurbitaceae. The record is from Rfam by way of RNAcentral.
CUGACGUACGUGCAAGUGAACAUGCGAGUAAACCCGUAAGAAAGCUAAUUAUUAGUGGUAACCUCUAGUAGGUUGCAUUACAGAUUGACCUUGAUCUUUUGGAAGUGUUUAAGAGUUAGCAUGCCUGUCGGGAUCUAAAAGAUGGUGAACUAUGUCUAUAUGGGACGAAGCCAGAGGAAACUUUGAUGGACGCUCAUAAUGAUACUGAUGUGCAAAUCGUUUGUGAAACCUCAAAUUUUUAUGAUCUUUGGACUUGUUAAACUUUGG